This 618-nucleotide long non-coding RNA is filed under the name Homo sapiens (human). RNAcentral's name for it is "HSALNT0373262". The record is from RNAcentral. Lineage: Eukaryota; Metazoa; Chordata; Mammalia; Primates; Hominidae.
UUUUGAACUAUUUGCCUUGAGGAAAGGCUAAAAAGUUAUUGAGUCGUGAGUGCAGUUUGCCACGUCACGAUGUAUUUCCCACUGUUUUCUUAGGCUAUUUUCUUUGCCUCCUUUAAGAUAUUUUCUGGAAACUUUUGCUGAACGGUAGCCAAUUGUGAGCGAAAGCUUCUGUAACCAUUCUCUUGCUGAAAGUAACUCGGAGAUCUCAUUUUGCCACAUGGAAGACAGCAGACUCUCUACUUCUCUUCCCUUAGGUCACAAUGGCCUAUAGGAUAUUGCUUUUAGAAGCAAUGCUAUAAGGAACCCUUUUUCUUGCACCAGUAGGAGGUGGAGUCUUGCUCUGUCGCCCAGGCUGGAGUGCAGUGGAGCGUGAUCUUGGCUCACUGCAAGCUCCGCCUCCUGGUUCACGCCAUUCUCCUGCCUCAGCCUGCGGAGUAGCUGGAACUACAGGAAGAAAAAUGGAACUAAAAAGGGAAAACAAUAGCAACAAAGAUCAAAAUAAAUAACAAGGAAGCGGAGAGAAGAAAGAACAUGGUGAAGAGAGUGAAACGCAUUGUCAUUUGGGGUGAAUUGCAGAAAGAAAUAAAUUAUUGUUCUUAUAUAUAAGUGAGAUCAUGC